Lemur catta (Ring-tailed lemur) is the source of this 1448-nucleotide long non-coding RNA. RefSeq lists it as uncharacterized. The record is from RefSeq and is a predicted model, not a curated record. The transcript has 2 exons. Lineage: Eukaryota; Metazoa; Chordata; Mammalia; Primates; Lemuridae.
UGGACUCGAGUUUUGAUUGGGCAGUUAAAAACCUGUAAAAGCGAAUUAAAACUGGCGGUGGGGUGGGGAAGGAACCCAGUGCUUUACGCAAUUCAGCUGGAGUUUGCACCGUGACGCGCCACUUGGAGACCUCGGCUCUGCCGGCUAGGGGCCGUGCGCAGCCUGGGCACGUCCGCUUUAAAAAUUCAGAUUAAGCUGUCUUAGAAGUGGUUUCCAGACGAUUCACCUCCUGUGUCAGCAUAGCAGUUAUGGAAGCGAAGACAGGACUGGAACCAGAAUAAGAGCUCAAAUAUACUGGAAAAUCUGAUCUCUAAAUUCUUAUGUAAGUCAGAGAGUGACCAACAGUGGUGAGACAUUGAGGACCUCAACAUUUGCUAUAAACUUUGCCACAGAUCACUUCUCUGAAGACUGAAUUCAAAAAAGCACAAUGAAUACUAGAAUAUGCUGUGGUAGCAAGGUCAAUUCCAGACAAGGCUGAGAAUUCCUUACAGCUGUGGAAAGAGGCCCACCUCCUGACAUGGCCCUGCAUACAGAAGUGAUAGAACUUGGGGAAAGUGAUGAAGUAAUUGACCUCACCUGUGAAUCUCGGGAACCUGUAGUGAUUGACCUAACUCAUCAUGACUCUGUUGUGAUUACUGAACGAAGAAGGAGGCCAAGGGGAAACACAAGGUCACUCCAGGGCCAAACUGGUAGUUGUGUGGUAAGCAGUGACGAGGAGGAGUUGAUGAGGGACAGAGAUGUAUAUGUGACCAAUAGUUCCCACCGUAAUGCCCUGGAAGAAGAAACUCUAAGUCACACACUACCUGGUUAUAUCUGGUGUCGAAUUUGCAUGGAUGGGUACACAGAGAUUGAAGUUACUAGAAGACACAUCUACUCUACAGAAUGUGGCCACAUCUUCUGCAGUCAGUGCCUCUGCACUUCCUUUAAAUAUACUAAAACUUGCCCAGUUUGUUUGAAAAAAAUCAACAGUCGUCAGUACCACCGCAUUUAUAUAUGAUAUAUGCCUUUUUGCUUAGGACAGACAGACUCUGUGGCUGGAUUUUUUCAUGUCCUUGUGCAGGAACUUUGGGUUGUUGGCAUCAAAUGCUCUGAGCUUUAAUAGCCUGAUUUUUAUGAUUGUUAUCUGGAGUAUAUAAAACUCUUUUAUUUCUCCUAUACUCUGAGAUUGCUUUUUGUUUCUUUUGGUUUCAUACUUCAGGGCUGGACUUUGGUAGCCAUAGUGUGCCAGAGACGUGGCUGUCUCAAAGCUCCCUUUCUUUCUCAUAGUCAUCAAUUUUUAGUUGGCCACAUGUGGGCAUUUUAGACCAUGUAAAUAAGGGCAACAACCUAGAGAUGGUGGAGCAAGUAGACAGAAAGAACUUGGGAGACUGACAACUUUGUAAACCAGAGCCACUAUACAUGUUUGGACUUUUAGAGAGAAAUAAAUUUUAUUCUUGCUUAACCAACCA